AGAGUUUGAUCCUGGCUCAGGAUGAACGCUGGCGGCGUGCUUAACACAUGCAAGUCGAACGGGAUCCCAGGAGCUUGCUCCUGGGUGAGAGUGGCGAACGGGUGAGUAAUGCGUGACCGACCUGCCCCAUACACCGGAAUAGCUCCUGGAAACGGGUGGUAAUGCCGGAUGCUCCAGUUGACCGCAUGGUCCUCUGGGAAAGCUUUUGCGGUAUGGGAUGGGGUCGCGUCCUAUCAGCUUGAUGGCGGGGUAACGGCCCACCAUGGCUUCGACGGGUAGCCGGCCUGAGAGGGCGACCGGCCACAUUGGGACUGAGAUACGGCCCAGACUCCUACGGGAGGCAGCAGUGGGGAAUAUUGCACAAUGGGCGCAAGCCUGAUGCAGCGACGCCGCGUGCGGGAUGACGGCCUUCGGGUUGUAAACCGCUUUUGACUGGGAGCAAGCCCUUCGGGGUGAGUGUACCUUUCGAAUAAGCACCGGCUAACUACGUGCCAGCAGCCGCGGU
This 505-nucleotide ribosomal RNA is filed under the name Bifidobacterium sp. CS16. RNAcentral's name for it is "bacterial SSU rRNA". It matches the Rfam family "Bacterial small subunit ribosomal RNA", at positions 8 to 521 of the family's 1533-position model. RNAcentral also lists the same sequence under 1 other name. Lineage: Bacteria; Bacillati; Actinomycetota; Actinomycetes; Bifidobacteriales; Bifidobacteriaceae. The record is from RNAcentral.